AUUGAACGCUGGCGGCAUGCCUAACACAUGCAAGUCGAACGGCAGCACAGCAGUAGCAAUACUGUGGGUGGCGAGUGGCGGACGGGUGAGGAAUACGUCGGAAUCUGCCCAGUCGUGGGGGAUAACUAGCCGAAAGGUUAGCUAAUACCGCAUACGACCGAGAGGUGAAAGCGGGGGACCGCAAGGCCUCGCGCGAUUGGAUGAGCCGACGUCGGAUUAGCUAGUUGGCGGGGUAAAGGCCCACCAAGGCGACGAUCCGUAGCUGGUCUGAGAGGAUGAUCAGCCACACUGGAACUGGGACACGGUCCAGACUCCUACGGGAGGCAGCAGUGGGGAAUAUUGGACAAUGGGAGCAAUCCUGAUCCAGCAAUGCCGCGUGUGGGAUGACGGGGGCUUUGGCCUUGUAAACCACUGUCGGACGGGACGAGAAGAGGUAAGAACCUCUGGGACGGUACCGUCAAAGGAAGGAUCGGCUAACUACGUGCCAGCAGCCGC
This 495-nucleotide ribosomal RNA is filed under the name uncultured bacterium. RNAcentral's name for it is "bacterial SSU rRNA". It matches the Rfam family "Bacterial small subunit ribosomal RNA", at positions 29 to 518 of the family's 1533-position model. The record is from RNAcentral.